AUUGAACGCUGGCGGCAGGCCUAACACAUGCAAGUCGAGCGGACGAAGGGAAAUUGUGCCUGUAUUCAGUUGCGGACGGGCGAGUAAUUCCCAGGAAGAUGCCCUACCGAUAGGAAUAACGUCCGUACACGGGCGCUAAUAUCGUAUAGGAUCAGAUGUUGAAAGUGGGGGUUCUUCGGACCUCGCGGGUCUAGAUGUGACUAAGACAUAGAACCGCGCUGCAUUAGCUAGUUGGUAAGGUAACGGCCUACCAAGGCAACGAUGCGUAGCCGACCUGAGAGGAUGAUCAGUCACACUGGAACUGAGACACGGUCCAGACUCCUACGGGAGGCAGCAGUAGGGAAUAUUCCGCAAUGGGCGAAAGCCUGACCCAGCCACGCCGCGUGUGUGAUGAAGGUCUUCGGAUCGUAAAGCUCUUUUAGUUGGGAGGAAGGUCUGUGAGAGUAACCGUGCCCAUUUUGACGUUACCUACAGAAUAAGCCCCGGCUAACUACGUG
This 497-nucleotide ribosomal RNA is filed under the name uncultured bacterium. RNAcentral describes it as "partial 16S ribosomal RNA". It matches the Rfam family "Bacterial small subunit ribosomal RNA", at positions 30 to 507 of the family's 1533-position model. The record is from RNAcentral.